This 793-nucleotide ribosomal RNA is filed under the name Diopsittaca nobilis. Its description in RNAcentral is "partial 16S ribosomal RNA". It matches the Rfam family "Bacterial large subunit ribosomal RNA", at positions 844 to 2274 of the family's 2925-position model. The record is from RNAcentral. Lineage: Eukaryota; Metazoa; Chordata; Aves; Psittaciformes; Psittacidae.
GAUAGCUGGUUGCCUGCAAAACGAAUCUAAGUUCUCCCUUAACCUCUUUCCCCCACAGACUAAACCCAACUAAAAUGUGAUAGUUAAGGACUAUUUAAAGGGGGUACAGCCCCUUUAAAAAAGGACACAACCUUCAUCAGCGGAUAACCCCAUGUACUCAACCCUGUGGGCCUUAAAGCAGCCACCCCUAAAGAUUGCGUCAAAGCUCCACCAACUAAAAACCCCAAAAACCAAUGCGACUCCCUACACCUCUAGCAAGCCAACCUAUAACAAUAGAUGAAUCAAUGCUAGAACGAGUAACCAGGGCACUAUGCCCCCCCAAGCGCCAGCCUACACACCAUUAACAGCAAAACCUCAAUAACAACCACCCCUUCCCCCACCAUUGAAUACACCCUGUCAAUCCAACUCAGGGGCGCACACUGGAGUGAUCAAAGUCUACAAAAGGAACUCGGCAAACCUAAGACCCGACUGUUUACCAAAAACAUAGCCUUCAGCCAGACAAGUAUUGAAGGUGAUGCCUGCCCAGUGACAUCAUGUUUAACGGCCGCGGUAUCCUAACCGUGCAAAGGUAGCGCAAUCAAUUGUCCCAUAAAUCGAGACCUGUAUGAAUGGCUAAACGAGGUCUUAACUGUCUCCUGUAGACAAUCGGUGAAACUGAUCUCUCUGUACAAAAGCAGAGAUAAACACAUAAGACGAGAAGACCCUGUGGAACUUCAAAAUCAAUAGCCACCUCACUCAACUCACAAACCCACUUCGGGCUCACCACCUAAGACACUGGCUAACAUUUUUAGGU